RNAcentral lists this long non-coding RNA (1794 nucleotides) under Parus major (Great Tit). RNAcentral's name for it is "lncRNA (ENSPMJG00000009014.1)". The record is from RNAcentral. Lineage: Eukaryota; Metazoa; Chordata; Aves; Passeriformes; Paridae.
GCGCUGGCCGUUCGCCCCCGGGGACACGUCACGGAGCGCGGCAGCCCCGGGCGGCGACUGCUCACCGCUAGGUGUCCGAGGGACACCCGGCACACCGCGGCACGUCGGGUCCUAGGGAGCGUAGAUUGCCUUAAAAAUACCGUUUUCUUGGGUAUUUCUUUUUAUUUGACCUAAAUUUGUCUACAAGAUCCAGGCGUCUUGUGGGAUGAAAAGUAAAAAUGCAGGAGCAUUGCCCCGGAACGGAAGAGAACUUCCAAUUUAACAAAUGGUCUUCCUGUGUGAACAACAACAAUUCGCCUACCUGGCCAUCCAGCAGAGAGCCCCAGGGAACUGGAAGUGCUGCUGAAAGGAAACAGGAGCCAGCCAGCAACAAUCUUCAGGUUUUGAAGGUCAGCUGUGGGGAACAUGGGCAGUAAUAUGUCCUCAGAAGAAAAACAUGUUUUCGAACUUAUGUCUAAACUUUUAGAGAAAAUCUACGUGAUUUGUACAGCAAAUCAGUUGCUUCUCACUCUCUUAUGCUGAUUUUAUGCUGGGUGGAAUCAUUUGUUUAAAAGUUUAAAAGCCAGCAUGGCUUUCACAGUGGAGCUAUGGGAUGAAGUGGGGUCAAACUCCGGGAUCAGGUGAGGAGACGUGAUAAGAUCGUGGCUGGUUUCUUACCCCUGUGGAGAGCUAUUUUAGAAACUCUUAAAGCUCAGGAGGGUGCCAGAACAGGCAAGGGUUCUGCAGAGGAGCUUUUAACAUCCCCCAUUCCCCCCAUUUCUGCAAAAGCACAAGUUUCUGCCCAUACGGGCCCCUGAAAUCCAAUUUACUGCCUCUAAUGGGGAUUUGGAAUUUGAGGAUGAUCCCUUUGAUCCUAAACCUGUUAAUGCGGAGAAUGAGCCUGAUUUAUUUUCCCCUAAUUUGCAUAACAAUUGGUGGGUCCAGCAGCAGCCACUAACAGCAGAUCACUUAGAAAUUGUGCAAGCAAUUGCUGCACCUGUUAUAUACCACCAGCAAAGACCUCCUGCAUGGGAAGGUCUGUCUUUCUCAGUCAUCAAAUAAUGACAGUGCACCGUGAUGGAAUACGGUAUUAAUUCUUCAUAUUUUACUAAUGUGCUCUCCACUGUUCUCAAUUCCUAUACUAUGAUUCCUCGUAAUUUAAAGUCGCUCUCCCAACUGCUGCUUUCAUCAAAGCAAUAUACAAUCUGUGAGGCAGAAUGAAAAAAGCUUUUAGAAGCACGGCUUUUAACCUAUGCGGGAAAUGCAAAUCAGCAAGUUGCCGCCUUAACAAUUGAACAGCUCAUGGGGACAGGGCAGCAUUCACAGCUGGACACUCAGGCAAGAGAAAUUCCACAGGAAGUUUUAGAUGAUAUUAGAGAUGAUGCAUACCAUGCUUUUAUGAAAGCCCUCGAUGCUGGCAAAAUGCAAAAGGCUUUCACAUCUAUAACUCAAGGGGCAAAAGAGCCUUAUAUGCAAUUUAUGGAUUGCCUUUGAGAGGCAUUAGACACACAAGUUGCUCAUCAAGAAGUUUGUGAUAUAUAUUAUUCUUUUAAAGUAAGCAAUAGAGAAUGCAAACAGUGACUGUCAAAAGGUUCUCAGGCCACUUAAAAAUCCCACAGUCAUAGAAAUUGUUGAAGCUUGUAAUUGUAUCUGAAUGGUUGAACACAAGUUUGAAAUGAUGGCUGCUGCUUUUACUGCGCUUAAUGUGUCCCCUUGUAAUAUAUGUUGGUAUAAUUUGUGUUUUAUUGUACAUAUAUAAGAUCAAGUAUAAAAGCAUGUUUUAUAAAUAAAAAACACAAACAACUUGAGAUUGCA